UGCAUGUGAUUGACCUUGCACCAUUCC
RNAcentral lists this non-coding RNA (27 nucleotides) under Bombyx mori (domestic silkworm). The record is from RNAcentral. Lineage: Eukaryota; Metazoa; Arthropoda; Insecta; Lepidoptera; Bombycidae.